This 460-nucleotide ribosomal RNA is filed under the name Capnocytophaga canimorsus. RNAcentral's name for it is "bacterial SSU rRNA". It matches the Rfam family "Bacterial small subunit ribosomal RNA", at positions 9 to 470 of the family's 1533-position model. Lineage: Bacteria; Pseudomonadati; Bacteroidota; Flavobacteriia; Flavobacteriales; Flavobacteriaceae. The record is from RNAcentral.
GAGUUUGAUUAUGGCUCAGGAUGAACGCUAGCGGCAGGCCUAACACAUGCAAGUCGAGGGGUAGGGUGCUUCGGCACUUGAGACCGGCGCACGGGUGCGUAACACGUGUACAAUCUACCUUUUGCUAAGGGAUAGCCCGAAGAAAUUUGGAUUAAUACCUUAUAGUAUUGUUUGGUGGCAUCACUGAAUAAUUAAAGCUCUGGUGGCAAAAGAUGAGUACGCGUCCCAUUAGCUAGUUGGUGUGGUAACGGCAUACCAAGGCUACGAUGGGUAGGGGUCCUGAGAGGGAGGUCCCCCACACUGGUACUGAGACACGGACCAGACUCCUACGGGAGGCAGCAGUGAGGAAUAUUGGACAAUGGUCGGAAGACUGAUCCAGCCAUGCCGCGUGCAGGAUGACGGCCUUAUGGGUUGUAAACUGCUUUUAUACAGGAAGAAUAAGGUCUACGCGUAGAUUGAU